CAGUAGCCACGGGAAUACGUAGGGUGCAAGCGUUAAUCGGAAUUACUGGGCGUAAAGCGUGCGCAGGCGGUUAUAUAAGACAGAUGUGAAAUCCCCGGGCUCAACCUGGGAACUGCAUUUGUGACUGUAUAGCUAGAGUACGGCAGAGGGGGAUGGAAUUCCGCGUGUAGCAGUGAAAUGCGUAGAUAUGCGGAGGAACACCGAUGGCGAAGGCAAUCCCCUGGGCCUGUACUGACGCUCAUGCACGAAAGCGUGGGGAGCAAACAGGAUUAGAUACCCGCGUAGUCCCUGUCUCUUAUAC
This 301-nucleotide ribosomal RNA is filed under the name uncultured bacterium. RNAcentral describes it as "partial 16S ribosomal RNA". It matches the Rfam family "Bacterial small subunit ribosomal RNA", at positions 509 to 807 of the family's 1533-position model. The record is from RNAcentral.